AAAACGACUCUCGGCAACGGAUAUCUCGGCUCUCGCAUCGAUGAAGAACGUAGCGAAAUGCGAUACUUGGUGUGAAUUGCGAAUCCCGUGAACCAUCGAGUCUUUGAACGCAAGUUGCGCCCCGAAGCCUUCGGCCGAGGGCACGUCUGCACAGGUGUCACAA
RNAcentral lists this ribosomal RNA (163 nucleotides) under Arabidopsis thaliana (thale cress). RNAcentral describes it as "5.8S ribosomal RNA". It matches the Rfam family "5.8S ribosomal RNA". From Rfam's summary of the family: 5.8S ribosomal RNA (5.8S rRNA) is a component of the large subunit of the eukaryotic ribosome. It is transcribed by RNA polymerase I as part of the 45S precursor that also contains 18S and 28S rRNA. Lineage: Eukaryota; Viridiplantae; Streptophyta; Magnoliopsida; Brassicales; Brassicaceae. The record is from RNAcentral.